This 754-nucleotide ribosomal RNA is filed under the name Sphaerellopsis paraphysata. RNAcentral's name for it is "LSU rRNA". It matches the Rfam family "Eukaryotic large subunit ribosomal RNA", at positions 151 to 922 of the family's 3401-position model. The record is from RNAcentral. Lineage: Eukaryota; Fungi; Ascomycota; Dothideomycetes; Pleosporales; Leptosphaeriaceae.
GCAGAGGGCGCUUUGGUGUUGGCAGCGGUCCAAGUUCCUUGGAACAGGACGUCACAGAGGGUGAGAAUCCCGUACGUGGUCGCUAGCCUCCGCCGUGUAAAGCCCCUUCGACGAGUCGAGUUGUUUGGGAAUGCAGCUCUAAAUGGGAGGUAAAUUUCUUCUAAAGCUAAAUACUGGCCAGAGACCGAUAGCGCACAAGUAGAGUGAUCGAAAGAUGAAAAGCACUUUGGAAAGAGAGUCAAAUAGCACGUGAAAUUGUUGAAAGGGAAGCGCUUGCAGCCAGACUUGCCUGUAGUUGCUCAUCUGGGCUUUUGCCCGGUGCAUUCUUCUGCAGGCAGGCCAGCAUCAGUUUGGGCGGUUGGAUAAAGGUCUCUGUCAUGUACCUCUCUUCGGGGAGGCCUUAUAGGGGAGACGUCAUGCAACCAGCCUGGACUGAGGUCCGCGCAUUUGCUAGGAUGCUGGCGUAAUGGCUGUAAGCGGCCCGUCUUGAAACACGGACCAAGGAGUCUAACAUCUAUGCGAGUGUUUGGGUGUCAAGCCCGAGCGCGUAAUGAAAGUGAACGGAGGUGGGAACCCUUUUGGGGUGCACCAUCGACCGAUCCUGAUGUCUUCGGAAGGAUUUGAGUAAGAGCAUGGCUGUUGGGACCCGAAAGAUGGUGAACUAUGCUUGAAUAGGGUGAAGCCAGAGGAAACUCUGGUGGAGGCUCGCAGCGGUUCUGACGUGCAAAUCGAUUCGUCAAAUUUGGGCAUAGGG